GUGAGAGACCUUGUCUUUCAAAGCAAAAAAUAAAAAGGGAAAGGGCAUGGAGAGAUGGUGCUCUGAAUACGGCGCUUGCUACUCAUGCUUAACUCAGGUUAAAACAAACAAAAACAAGCGCAGUAGAGCAUGGCAUGAUCCUAGCCUCAGAAGGGCAGGGAGAAGAGAGUCAGUCCUGUGGCUUGCUGGCCAGCUUGUCUAGUGAGUAAGGUCUGUGUCAGAGAUAUUUCUCUAAAAAUGAAGUAGACAAGUAUCCCUGAGAAAUGAUACGUGAGGCUAUCCCUCAUUUCUGUCUGCAUGCGCUCACACUCGAUUUCAUGCUGAGAUCACGUGAACAACUGAACCAGCACUGAACAGCACUGUCUUAUGUUCAAGGCGAGUUCCCUGUUCAGCGCCAUACUUUCCUCACCACUGAGGAACCGUCUCCUUCAAUUUGCUCUGGUAUAUGGUUCUGUAGUUAGGUUAUUUCCUGCCAAAAUUUAGAAGUUGGGAUUUUCUUGUACUUAAUAUUUUGUUAUUUUGUAUUUAAUUGAUUAGGCUAGUAUCUUAUAUAGUUACAAAUGAAAAUUCUCAAGUAUUAGAGCAAUGACUCCACAGUUAAGAGCACACACUGCUCUUCCAGAGAACCUCAGUUUGGUUCCCAGCACCCAGGUUGGGCAGCUCACAACUGCCUAUAAUUCCAGUGCCAGAGAAUCCAGUGCCUUGUUUUGGUCUCUGAGGGAGGAUACCUGUACACAUGUGGCAGUUACUCAUGCUGUUAAACACACUUGAAUAAGAAUACUAAUCUGUAAAAUAUUCUGAAGAAAAAUCAUAUUUUUCCUGCAUUUUGAAUAAAUGGAUUUGCUCU
This 847-nucleotide long non-coding RNA is filed under the name Rattus norvegicus (Norway rat). RNAcentral describes it as "long non-coding RNA NONRATT013910". Lineage: Eukaryota; Metazoa; Chordata; Mammalia; Rodentia; Muridae. The record is from RNAcentral.